This is a long non-coding RNA of Xenopus laevis (African clawed frog), 682 nucleotides long. RefSeq lists it as uncharacterized. NCBI's taxonomy places the organism in Eukaryota, Metazoa, Chordata, Amphibia, Anura, Pipidae. The transcript is spliced from 2 exons. The record is from RefSeq and is a predicted model, not a curated record.
GUUGCAACAAAAUCAAGGGGCAAUUCGUAUCGUACAAUUGACGCUCCGGAAACUCGAUUUUAUCGAAUUUUCACUGGGAAAUUUUGACUUUUUUGGGUUAUCAGAAGAAAAUCCCAACUUUAUCGGAUUAUCCGGCACAUAUCACAAUGUCAAGAAGCGACUUCAUGGACAUCUGCCAUUGACUUCUACAUGAACAGAUGGUAAAUAAUUCGGAUUCUGCAUCUUCUUAUUGUGCUCCUGUCCAGUGAAGGGAAAAUCACCCAGGACUUAAGCAGAUGUGUCAGCCCUGGCAGAGCCAUGCAUCAUCAUCAAAACCCUGCUUAAAAUGAAAUUGGAUUUCCAGUGACAGUUCAUGCAGCGAUUCAGUGUAAUUCCAUUAGGAUAGAUAAACUUUAGCAUUGCCGGGGACGGCUUUUGGUACUUACAAAUGCUACAUGUUCCUGCCAAUAUACCUACAGUCAUUCCUCUACCACCGGAGUGAUCCAGAUCUUUUAUCCUGCAGCUCUGUGGGGUUACAGGAGCGUAGAGAGACUGGGUUAUAAUAUAAAGACUGUCUGUCUGUCUUAAGGCACCAUUAAAAGGGUCAUUUAUGACCGCCAUGCAGAGCGAGUUCAGUCUCUCUGAAAUGGAUGCAAAUAUUGCACAUUUUGCACCAUUUAUUAAAGGUUCUUGCUUCACAAUA